UCCCUGGUAGUUUAGUGGUUAGAAUUUGGUGCUUUCACCACUGCAGCCUAGGUUCAAUCCCUAGUCUCAGAA
RNAcentral lists this transfer RNA (72 nucleotides) under Sus scrofa (pig). It matches the Rfam family "tRNA". Rfam says of the family: Transfer RNA (tRNA) molecules are approximately 80 nucleotides in length. Their secondary structure includes four short double-helical elements and three loops (D, anti-codon, and T loops). Further hydrogen bonds mediate the characteristic L-shaped molecular structure. tRNAs have two regions of fundamental functional importance: the anti-codon, which is responsible for specific mRNA codon recognition, and the 3' end, to which the tRNAs corresponding amino acid is attached (by aminoacyl-tRNA synthetases). tRNAs cope with the degeneracy of the genetic code in two manners: having more than one tRNA (with a specific anti-codon) for a particular amino acid; and 'wobble' base-pairing, i.e. permitting non-standard base-pairing at the 3rd anti-codon position. The record is from Rfam by way of RNAcentral. Lineage: Eukaryota; Metazoa; Chordata; Mammalia; Artiodactyla; Suidae.